RNAcentral lists this long non-coding RNA (1006 nucleotides) under Triticum aestivum (bread wheat). Its description in RNAcentral is "long non-coding RNA (TAES_LNC010827)". The record is from RNAcentral. Lineage: Eukaryota; Viridiplantae; Streptophyta; Magnoliopsida; Poales; Poaceae.
UGGCGGAGGAGGAGGAACAUGGGCAGCGUCGGCGGCGCCGGUGGUGAACAGAGCGCGAGCGGCGGAGCGGGCGGGGGCAGGCGGCGGCGGCCUCUCGCUCUCGGGCUUGGGUAAGAGCAACCUGAACUGUCUUACAGUCUGUACUACCCUGAGAUACAAUAGUAAGCCUGUACUCUGUACCACACUCAGAUAUAAGUCUGUACUAUUAUGCUGUCCAUAGACAUACAAGUAGAAUGUUGCAAUGCUUGGCGCAUUGCGGUGCAUCCCAGUAAACUCUGAUUCAGACACCAAGUUUUUCUCCGGCCAUUUGCUUAUUGAUUGUGUAAAGAAAAAUCUUACUAAUGUGGCUAUUGUAUACCAUAGAUGUCACGGCCUGCAUUGCAGUUUCACACCACAAUCCCAACCAGUGCGUAAAUGAGUUUGUUGAAUUUGUAGAUGAUAUCUGAUAGCACUACAUCUGUUACCCAAUAUCUAUAGUACUUUGACAGAUUGGCAUGCCCUUUUCUGUUUACAUAUUUGCUUGUACAAUAAUAUAACCUUUAAGCUGAUGAAUAGCCGGUUCGGCCGUUCCUGGUGCUUGCUUAUCCUGGGGUUAGGAGGAAGAGGAAGAGCUCAUCUCAUGCAAGGUCAUCUCGCCGAAGCACACUUACAACUUACAAGCUGUGGCCGUAGCCACACCUGUUCUACAGCGCCAGUAAUGGAAAGGCCAUUCCCAAAUUCUGACACCUCAAUCUCAAUAUGUGUACAUAUCACCAGGUAAUAGAGGAUGUUCCCAAACAAAUGCAAGAUGUGCAUGAGAAACAAAUGAGUAAUUACAGAGUUGAUAGCUUAGCAGCUGAGGUGAUCCUCCUAUCGUAAACUCUUUAUGCAGAUGGUACUUAUCAUUGUACCAGAUCUAUCAAUCUUGUUCAUGAGGCAACAAAUCUAGCUAUUGACGGUAAUAACGUACUUACAGGCUUUCAUAUCAAUGCCUCAUUAGCGUACAUCAUAGAUAAGUAAGCACUCU